CUACCCUUGACCCUGGGAUAACAGCUGGAAACAGCUGCUAAUACCGGAUAUGAACUCAGCAGGCAUCUGCAGAGUUGGAAAGCUCCGACGGUCAGGGAUGGGCUCGCGGCCUAUCAGCUUGUUGGUGAGGUAACGGCUCACCAAGGCGACGACGGGUAGCCGGCCUGAGAGGGCGACCGGCCACACUGGGACUGAGAUACGGCCCCAGACUCCUACGGGAGGCAGCAGUGGGGAAUAUUGCGCAAUGGGCGAAAGCCUGACGCAGCAACGCCGCGUGC
This 278-nucleotide ribosomal RNA is filed under the name uncultured Micropruina sp. RNAcentral describes it as "partial 16S ribosomal RNA". It matches the Rfam family "Bacterial small subunit ribosomal RNA", at positions 126 to 404 of the family's 1533-position model. Lineage: Bacteria; Bacillati; Actinomycetota; Actinomycetes; Propionibacteriales; Nocardioidaceae. The record is from RNAcentral.